RNAcentral lists this ribosomal RNA (253 nucleotides) under uncultured bacterium. RNAcentral's name for it is "partial 16S ribosomal RNA". It matches the Rfam family "Bacterial small subunit ribosomal RNA", at positions 524 to 776 of the family's 1533-position model. The record is from RNAcentral.
GACGUGGGGCGCGAGCGUUGUCCGGAUUUAUUGGGCGUAAAGCGCUCGUAGGCGGUUUGUCGCGUCUGCUGUGAAAACUCGGGGCUUAACUCCGGGCCUGCAGUGGGUACGGGCAGACUAGAGUGCGGUAGGGGAGACUGGAAUUCCUGGUGUAGCGGUGAAAUGCGCAGAUAUCAGGAGGAACACCAGCGGCGAAGGCGGCGCUCUGGGCCGGUACUGACGCUGAGGAGCGAAAGCGUGGGGAGCAAACAGG